RNAcentral lists this long non-coding RNA (268 nucleotides) under Daucus carota (carrot). RNAcentral's name for it is "long non-coding RNA (DCAR_LNC006739)". The record is from RNAcentral. Lineage: Eukaryota; Viridiplantae; Streptophyta; Magnoliopsida; Apiales; Apiaceae.
CCCUAGAUAGCUCUAGUGGACGAGUGUGUUCUCGUGAGGGUUUGUAGAAGAUGUACCCACAAAAUCCCAAGUCGUGAUGAAUCCACAAUUCUCUAUUCUUGCAAAUAAUGCACCAAAACCAACCUAAAAUGAUAGAAAAUCACUUCAUCACCUCAACUCGUGACCUGCACAGAAAAACAAUAAAAACACAUCAAAAGACACCAAACACUUAAGUACAACCAACCAAUUUAAGUGGAAAUGAAGGCCUAUAAGUGUGUAUAAAUACCAC